This 2794-nucleotide long non-coding RNA is filed under the name Homo sapiens (human). RNAcentral describes it as "HSALNT0087195". The record is from RNAcentral. Lineage: Eukaryota; Metazoa; Chordata; Mammalia; Primates; Hominidae.
AAAAAAAAAAAGAAAAGAAAAAGAAAUCUGGGUACCCGCGAAUGCGAUUUUUUUUAGGUUUACCGAUGAUCAGUUUAGCAGUGCCUGGGAGCUCUUAUACCAAGUUUGUUUUCGCAAUAUUGAGUCCCACCUUAGCUAAGCUUGUGUGUAUUUUAAACUCCCAUGGAAGUCAGGAAAUGUCCGCAAACGCGAUUUCUGGUUACCAAGCUCCGUUUGGCAAUAGCAAGUCCUGCCGAACGCGACUUUUUCCUCUUGUGGACCAAGUCUGAAUAGACCAGCUACUGCGAUUUUUAAGUCGUAGUAAAAAAGGUUUAACCGUGACUGCUUUUUUUUGUUGGUGUUGUUUGUUUUUGUUUUUGUUUUCGUAGGAAAUGUAGACUUAGGUGUAACAUGUACCGGUUUAGAUCUGACAGAGAUAUCACAAUUGUAGGAUUGCAUCUUUUAGCAAGGUUUGUAAUUUCUUCUUUCUAGGAUUGGUUCUCUGUAAUUUUUGCUUAUUUUUAAAUUCUCUCUUUGUCUUUUGCUCUGAGAACGAUGUUACCGAUGUGUUUGCUUUCCAUGUUUACUUGCAUUUUAGCCUUUAUUUUUUUAAUUUUGAUUUUAUUUAAAUGUUAUGUAUUUUUUUUCUACUAAUUUUGAGCGUCUCAGCUUCCUGCUUCUUUACUUACAUUCUCUCAGGAUCCGGGGAGCCGAGCUCGGUCUCAGUCUCCCUGCUGUCAGGUGCCAGGUUGUGUCUGGUGGCUCUCCUUCGUAUGCGGAGCUGAUGGUUUUGCAUCAGCGCUUUUGCCAGUAGAGCCGACUAGCGUUUUCUCAGUUACGGCACCGUUCUUAGCGCCCAGUGUGACGUUUCCCAUUCGCCAGGUCCUUAUGUUCUCUGUGCUGUCACUUUCUUGGUUCUCGCACCGCUAGUAUCUGCUAAAGAACUUCCUAAACCAUGUUUUACUGUGCAGAACGGUGAUUGCACGGAGCCGCUGUACGCACUAGUAAUUUCAUAGCACCGUUAGCUGGCGCUUUUUCUGUCACAACACAUUAAAACGGGUUAAAAUACUGCAAGCGGAUUAAACACAUUAAGAGGAUUAAAACAUUAAAAUGUCUCAACACAUUUUUCUGACACAACACAUUUAAACGGAGUGGGUUCAUUCCUCCGAAGAGGAUGUUUAGGCGUGGAAGCACCGCUGUUUCCCAAGAGCACGGUUUCUCUCUGGCAGCACCACUUAUGGCACCAAAACAGGUAUUUUUUGGCAACACCAGCACUAUUCGCUAGGUGCCGGCGCUUGCUGAGUCCCAGCGCCGCCAGUUUCUCUUUCGGUCGUUAAGUAGCUCAGAGCCCUAGCGGACAGUUUUCAGGUGGCAGUAAUGCUCAUUUCCUGGAACAGAUGGUUCGUGGCCCUUGAAGCGCUGCGAUCUGUAAAGCUAGUUCUCUGCAAGAUUAAGGUUUCCACCCACCUCCCUGAAAUCUGAUUUGGACCCCCAGGAGGCCAGAAGAGUAUAAAAACGCAAAAGAUGUUGACUUCUGAGUCCCACAUACCCGGCGUCAGCUGGUGAAUGAAAGACACGAAGGAGCUGCUGUGGAGCUGCUGUCUCCCCUCGGAGUUUGGCAGGCCCGGGAUUCCGCAAAGGAGUUGGCGGGGCCAGAUGCCUCCAGCCCUGAGCUCAGUACAUUCGGUGUCCUGGAUGCUCCCUUCCUUUCCUUAUCACUGCGAGCUCUCCUGGGACGGCCUAGAUUUCCACUGGGACCUACUUUCGGCUCCCUGCGUGCUUCAUUGCUGAAACUGCCGGCGAAAAGAUCUCUUUCUCAAGCCUCAGAGCACCUUGAGGCGGGGCGCAGAGUCGCCCGCUCUGGAUCCCGCGCCAGAGACCCAGGAGGAUCCGCAGGAGCCCUCGGGAGAGCAGGAGGCUGCAUAGGGUCUCAACGUACUCCCGUCCCCGCAGCCUCCCUCGCAACUCGCCCCUCGCUCGGUAGGCAGACAACUCCAGCCGGACAGGUCCGUCCGAGGAGACCUUUCAGAGUGUCAGCCUACUGCUGACCUCGGAGCCACCAACCAAAGUUCCAAGACUGCUGGCUGCAGAUUGCAUGCUCUUGGGGCAGACGCCCUAAGAAUGUGUCCACCGAGUCCAAUGUGUCUUUGGAGUCCUGAGCCCUGAGAUUUCCGCUAAGACCUUCCAUUGGACGAUCUCUUGUAACAGAUGUUGUUACAGUAACACGUGAGUUCGCUCAAAUGCGAUGGAAGUUUUGCCUUUCGAUCAUUUUGUGCCUUUGUCUUUCCCCUUCUCAAUAAAAUCGUACACAAAUGUGAAAUUCUUGUUGCCUGUGUUCCUGUUGAUGUUGGGUAAGGAUGAGCCUCAGGGGCGGGGUGGCUGGUUGCUGGUGCCAGGACUAUCACGGGGACCCUGAAUCCCCUAGGUUUGCUGGUUGCAGGGCAAACAAAAAGUACAAGAAGUGUGUGUCUUAUGCAGAGAUUGGAGGGGAGAAUAGGCCAGGGGUCGUGCAUGGCUGGUGACUCACAGGCUGAGCCUACAGGAAAUCCGGUGAACAGGCAGCAGACCUGAGAACUUACUGCAGGAAAUUCUCCUGUUCUGAGGCCCUGGAACUUUUUCCCUCUGAAGGUUUGCACCUUUCUAUCUUGAGGCCUUGUUAAACUCAUAAUUUCUGGAAGUUUUCUUCUAGACUCUUUAAGAUUUUCUCCAUAGGCUCAUGUUCUGCAUGUAUGAAUAGUUUCAUUUUUUCACUUCCAAUGUAUAUGCUUUCUUACUCCUUUUCUCACCUUAUUGCACUGGCGAACAAUUCCAGUAC